RNAcentral lists this ribosomal RNA (639 nucleotides) under uncultured bacterium. RNAcentral's name for it is "bacterial SSU rRNA". It matches the Rfam family "Bacterial small subunit ribosomal RNA", at positions 232 to 885 of the family's 1533-position model. The record is from RNAcentral.
CGCGGCCUAUCAGCUUGUUGGUGAGGUAACGGCUCACCAAGGCAUCGACGGGUAGCUGGUCUGAGAGGACGAUCAGCCACACUGGGACUGAGACACGGCCCAGACUCCUACGGGAGGCAGCAGUGGGGAAUCUUGCGCAAUGGGCGAAAGCCUGACGCAGCAACGCCGCGUGGGGGAUGAAGGCUCUCGGGUUGUAAACCCCUUUCAUCAGGGACGAAAUUGACGGUACCUGAAGAAGAAGCCCCGGCCAACUACGUGCCAGCAGCCGCGGUGACACGUAGGGGGCGAGCGUUGUCCGGAAUUAUUGGGCGUAAAGAGCUCGUAGGCGGUUUAGUAAGUCAGAUGUGAAAGGUUGGGGCUCAACCCUAAGACUGCAUCCGAUACUGCUAUGACUAGAGUCCGAUAGAGGAGUGUGGAAUUCCUGGUGUAGCGGUGAAAUGCGCAGAUAUCAGGAGGAACACCGACGGCGAAGGCAGCACUCUGGGCCGGUACUGACGCUCAGGAGCGAAAGCGUGGGUAGCAAACAGGAUUAGAUACCCUGGUAGUCCACGCCGUAAACGUUGGGCACUAGGUGUGGGACCUUAUCAACGGGUUCUGUGCCGUAGCUAACGCAUUAAGUGCCCCGCCUGGGGAGUACGG